AAAGUCGUAACAAGGUAACCGUAGGUGAACCUGCGGUUGGAUCAUUACUGAAAUUUCGGUUCUUUUGAACCGUUUCAACCUCUGUGCUAUUGUGAUUGUUUCUGGGUACAUUUUUUGUACCCAAAAAUGUUAAACCAUUUUUAUUAUUAUUGUCUGAUCUUUUUAUUAUAUAUAAAAAAAAAACAACUUUUGACAACGGAUCUCUUGGCUCUC
RNAcentral lists this unclassified non-coding RNA (213 nucleotides) under Chytridiomycota sp. RNAcentral describes it as "partial contains small subunit ribosomal RNA, internal transcribed spacer 1, and 5.8S ribosomal RNA". The stretch from base 1 to 47 matches the Rfam family "Eukaryotic small subunit ribosomal RNA", at positions 1785 to 1831 of the family's 1831-position model. The record is from RNAcentral. Lineage: Eukaryota; Fungi; Chytridiomycota.